UGCCAGACUCCUACGGGAGGCAGCAGUGGGGAAUAUUGCACAAUGGGGGAAACCCUGAUGCAGCGACGCCGCGUGAGUGAAGAAGUCAUUCGUGAUGUAAAGCUCUAUCAGCAGGGAAGAAAAUGACGGUACCUGACCAAGAAGCCCCGGCUAACUACGUGCCAGCAGCCGCGGUAAUACGUAGGGGGCAAGCGUUAUCCGGAUUUACUGGGUGUAAAGGGAGCGUAGACGGCAAGGCAAGUCUGGAGUGAAAGCCCGUGGCCCAACCACGGGACUGCUUUGGAAACUGUGUUGCUGGAGUGCAGGAGGGGUAAGCGGAAUUCCUAGUGUAGCGGUGAAAUGCGUAGAUAUUAGGAGGAACACCGGUGGCGAAGGCGGCUUACUGGACUGUAACUGACGUUGAGGCUCGAAGGCGUGGGGAGCAAACAGGAUUAGAUACCCGCGUA
This 446-nucleotide ribosomal RNA is filed under the name uncultured bacterium. Its description in RNAcentral is "bacterial SSU rRNA". It matches the Rfam family "Bacterial small subunit ribosomal RNA", at positions 329 to 792 of the family's 1533-position model. The record is from RNAcentral.